UCAGAGCUGAUGGAUUUCACUCAUAAUGU
This 29-nucleotide non-coding RNA is filed under the name Mus musculus (house mouse). Lineage: Eukaryota; Metazoa; Chordata; Mammalia; Rodentia; Muridae. The record is from RNAcentral.